This is a transfer RNA of Toxocara canis (dog roundworm), 72 nucleotides long. It matches the Rfam family "tRNA". From Rfam's summary of the family: Transfer RNA (tRNA) molecules are approximately 80 nucleotides in length. Their secondary structure includes four short double-helical elements and three loops (D, anti-codon, and T loops). Further hydrogen bonds mediate the characteristic L-shaped molecular structure. tRNAs have two regions of fundamental functional importance: the anti-codon, which is responsible for specific mRNA codon recognition, and the 3' end, to which the tRNAs corresponding amino acid is attached (by aminoacyl-tRNA synthetases). tRNAs cope with the degeneracy of the genetic code in two manners: having more than one tRNA (with a specific anti-codon) for a particular amino acid; and 'wobble' base-pairing, i.e. permitting non-standard base-pairing at the 3rd anti-codon position. NCBI's taxonomy places the organism in Eukaryota, Metazoa, Nematoda, Chromadorea, Rhabditida, Toxocaridae. The record is from Rfam.
GCGGCAGUAGCUCAAUGGUAGAGCCCCCGCUUCGCAUACGGGGAGGCUUGGGAUCGAUUCCCGGCUGAUUCC